RNA transcript from Cryptotermes secundus, 3056 nucleotides. It is a transcript of the gene named carotenoid isomerooxygenase, with no coding region annotated. The transcript has 13 exons. The record is from RefSeq and is a predicted model, not a curated record. NCBI's taxonomy places the organism in Eukaryota, Metazoa, Arthropoda, Insecta, Blattodea, Kalotermitidae.
UAUUACACGUUAAUUCCGAAUCGAAACAAGCCAGAAGUACCGAGAUUAAUCCAAAACAACUGAAGUGUUUAAUGUCAAUAGUUAAUAGUGUUUUAUGAAACACCGAUUCAGUAAGGAUACAUAAGAAAUUUUGUGUUAAAAUUUCGAAGUAUGAAGUACAAUUACAAACAAAAACACUGAAACAUAAAUCAUGAUCUAUUGAGCACGGCUGUUCCAACAAUGUCAAACAAAUAUAUUUCCGAUACCAACUACAGAAAUUCAUGUAACUUUUGGGCAGACGAGCGUAUGAAGGAUGUCGCAAAUUCCGAAAAUGAUAAUUUUACGCCAGUCAUCAAUUAUUCCACAUCUGAUAAUGGUUGGUCGACGCCAACUAAUGGGUGGGCGACGCCUUCGAGUGGUUAUGGAACUCCUGUAGGCGUAGGAACCCCGUCUUGUCGAAGACGCAUUCUUGCUGGAAAUCAUAAUGACGAAAUAUAUUCCACGUCUGACAGUGGUUGGGCGACGCCUUCGAGUGGCUAUGGAAGUCCUGUAGGCAUAGGAACUCCAUCUUGUCGAAGACGCAUUCUCGUUGAAAAUCAUAAAAGCGAAAUAUAUUCUACGUCUCACAGUGGUUGGGCGACGCCUUCGAGUGGCUAUGGAAGUCCUGUAGGUGUAGGAACUCCAUCUUGUCGAAGACGCAUUCUCGGUGAAAAUCAUAAAAGUGAAAUAUAUUCCACGUCUGACAGUGGUUGGUCGACACCAACUAAUGGGUGGGCGACGCCUUCGAGUGGCUAUGGAACUCCUGUAGGCGUAGGAACCCCGUCUUGUCGAAGACGCAUUCUUGCUGGAAAUCAUAAUGACGAAAUAUAUGUUGAAGGAAGCUGUCCAGGACAAGGAAAUAAGGACGAAAGCAUUCGUAGGGGAGACUCUGAAGAAGCAAGUGGCCAAGUUAAAGGAAUUGACAGCAUUUGCUCUGACCGUGAUGCAAGUCUACUCAGGAAGCUGCAGACGGGUGAGGACCUGUAUCCUUUCUGCGAUGCGUCAGUAUGGCUCAGAUCUUGUUCGCAGGAGGUCGUGGAGCCACUAGAAGGGAAAAUCACAGGCUGUAUUCCGUACUGGUUAAAGGGGUCACUUUUACGAAAUGGACCUGGUAGUUUGAAAGUAGGAGAUAUGACAUUUGGACACCUGUUUGAUGGAUCCGCACUUUUGCACAGGUUUGCCAUUGAUGGGGGCCAUGUGACAUACCAGUCCCGUUUCCUUAAGACGCAGACAUACAAACGUAAUAUGGCUGCCCAGAGGAUAGUUGUAACAGAAUUCGGAACAAAAGCAGUGCCUGAUCCGUGUCAAACCAUUUUUCAAAGGGUAUCAGCCCUGUUCACACCUGGAGAAACCACUUCCGACAACGCGAUGAUCUCCGUGUAUCCUUUCGGAGACGAACUCUACGCCCUUACAGAGUAUCCCGUGAUUCACCGCUUUGACCCCAUCACGCUAGACACUUUGGACAGGGUGAAUGUUUCCAAGUAUGUGGGGAUUGUAAACCAUACAUCACACCCACAUGUGAUGGAUGAUGGCACAGUGUACAACCUGGGAAUGUCAAUAUCAGUAACCGGACCCCAUUACGCAAUUAUCAAGUUCCCACCAACUUGUGAUGUCAAGUCUGCUGGUGAUGGGUGUUCCAAUAAACGACUGAGUAUGUUUGAACAAGCUAGGAUUAUAGGCUCAAUACCUGCCAGAUGGCCACUUCAUCCUGCCUACAUGCAUACUUUUGGUUCUACUGAAAACUACUUUGUGAUAGUGGAGCAACCAUUGUCUGUAUCUGUGCCAGCCAUGGUACGAAAUCAUCUUUUGAAUGAGCCAAUGGCAGGAAGCUUCAGAUGGUACCAAGACCAACAAACCCAAAUUCUUCUUAUGCAGAGAAAAGAUGGUCAGUUGUUUAAGAUAUUUCUUGCAGAGGCUUUCUUCUACCUUCAUAUUAUAAACUCUUAUGAAGAAGAUAAUCAUCUAAUUGUUGACAUAUGCUGUUACAAAGAUCCCACUAUGCUGGACUGCAUGUAUGUGGAAGCUUUGAUGGGCAUUCAGAAGAAUCCUGACUAUGCCAGAAUGUUCAGGGGUCGGCCUUUGCGAUUUGUAUUGCCACUGAAGAAUGUUUCCUCAGACACUGCUCCAGAGACAAACCUAGUAACACUGCAGGGAGCCAAAGCUACUGCUUAUCGACUCUAUGAUGGGAAUAUAUUUUCACAGCCUGAACUUCUAUGUGAUCUUGGAUGUGAAACACCUAGAAUUUAUUACGAAAAAUAUCUUGGACAGCCAUACAGAUAUUUUUAUGCCAUUUCAUGUGAUGUAGAUGCAGAUAACCCAGGCACACUGAUAAAGGUGGACAUCAAAACUCGCACAAAGAUGACCUGGUGUGAAGAAAAUGUAUAUCCCAGUGAACCAAUUUUUGUACCCUCACCAGAUCCAAAGGAGGAGGAUGAUGGAGUUGUGUUGUCAGCAUUGGUGUGGGGCAGAGGAAUUGAAAGGGAGGUAGGAAUCCUUGUGCUGGAUGCCUCUACAUGGCAAGAACUGAGUCGAGCAACUUUCACCACCCCAAGUCCAGUGCCCAAAUGUUUACAUGGAUGGUUUACUGAAAAUAUAGACUUAACAUUUAAGUCAACACUGCUUCAAUGAUGAUCAGACAUCUUACUGCAGUUGCUGUUUAUGCCGUGUACAUGAUUAUCCUUUUUUUGCAAAAGUAGGACACCCCCCCUUCCAGUGGCGACGUAACAUCAUUGGAGCAACUGCCGCUGCUACGGUAACAGGCCAGUCAACACUCUGUCCCCCUCCUCCACGGUGACAUAACAGCACUUCCCAAUGUGAUGUAACAAGGGGACACCGCUGGUAACAUGAGGCAACAGGGAACGGUAUAAAAAGCCAGCUGAGCAGUAUGUGACCAUAGUGUGAGAUCAGGAGUGACACAGUGUGGAUCAUGAAGUUGCCGAGUGCAGUUGAAGUCUAACAUUCGCCAGAGUGAAUGGAAGCAGGAGAAGUAAUUGUAAUACUGCCUAUGGCAGUUAUUUGGAGAUUGUAAAUUGUGUAAA